Molecule: ribosomal RNA, 460 nt
Filed under: uncultured Acidimicrobiales bacterium
Lineage: Bacteria; Bacillati; Actinomycetota; Acidimicrobiia; Acidimicrobiales
Description: bacterial SSU rRNA
Rfam family: Bacterial small subunit ribosomal RNA
Source: RNAcentral
GACGAACGCUGGCGGCGUGCUUAAUACAUGCAAGUCGAACGCACUCGGACUUCGGUCCAUAUGGGUGAGUGGCGAACGGGUGAGUAACACGUGAGAAACCCACCUCGAAGUUUGGAAUAACUCAGGGAAACUUGAGCUAAUACCAAAUACCCUCCUUUGGCCGCAUGGUCAGUUGAGGAAAGAUUUAUCGCUUCGGGACGGUCUCGCGGCCUAUCAGCUAGUUGGUGAGGUAACGGCUCACCAAGGCAUCGACGGGUAGCUGGUCUGAGAGGACGAUCAGCCACACUGGGACUGAGACACGGCCCAGACUCCUACGGGAGGCAGCAGUAGGGAAUCUUGCACAAUGGGCGAAAGCCUGAUGCAGCGACGCCGCGUGGGGGAUGAAGGCCUUAGGGUCGUAAACCCCUUUCAGUGGGGACGAAAUUGACGGUACCCACAGAAGAAGCCCCGGCCAACUACG